RNAcentral lists this long non-coding RNA (1124 nucleotides) under Mus musculus (house mouse). Its description in RNAcentral is "long non-coding RNA chr12:38501446-38502570". The record is from RNAcentral. Lineage: Eukaryota; Metazoa; Chordata; Mammalia; Rodentia; Muridae.
AAUCAAAUUCAGAACUUCUUAAAUGUCCAUGCAUAAAAAAAAGUAAAGCAAGACUGACAUAUCAUGCCAAUUAAUAUUAGACAUUAUGUAUACUCAGAAAUGGUUACCUAUGAUUCAUUAAUUGCCUCUGUUCAAAAGCAAAGGCAAAUACUUCAGAGACAGUUGUAUUUAAUUUGUUUUUAAACUAUAUGAAUGAACAAGGCUACUUCAUGUCAAAUAAAAUACAUUUAUAACAAAGUUGUACACAUGUAAGUGUAAGGUCAUGGAUUAAUUGUGUGCAUACCUAAAACCCAACAAUGCAUAUUUUGUCAGUGUGAUGGUACUGGGGGGGAGGCAUUAGGGUCAAUUCAAUGCAGAUAAGAUCUUUACAUUGCAUUCCUGGCAAUUAACUAUGUUCAGGCACUUAUAAAAUAAUUUUUUAAAAAAGCCAAGCAUUCUUCUAUGACUCAAGGUAAAGAGCCUAGAAAUAGACAACAGCUACAAACCAGGAGGAGGUUUGCAACAGAGAAAUGUCUGCUUUCACUUUGAAUUUGAACCUCCCAGAUUUCUAAAUUGGAAAAGAUUUAUUGCUGCUUAAGUCAUCUGGGUAUUUUGUUACAGCAACAUCAACAGAGACACAUAUGAAAGGAAAAACCAGUAGAGAAUGAGGAAUGGAAAAUCUGAAGGGGCUGAGGAAAGUAACGGAGUGAUAAAGAUUUCAGGAGGACGAUGAGGAGUCAGUGCAUCAGUCUUUUUAUGCUUCCUAAUUACUUUGAAUCUGUGAUAACAGUGCAUCAUUGACUGCUGUCAAGAGAAACUGAUGGGAUGGAGGCCAGUCUGCGUUUCAUUACGAAACCUCUGAUUGAUUAUAUGAAGUGAAUUAUUUGUUGUUCAGAAGCAAAGCAGGAUAAUUUGAAAAUGUUGCCUAACACAGAGGUGAUCACUUGACCUGGCCUUCCAGCAUCCUCCUGGGUGUGAUCUGAAAUAUAGGGGAUUGAUCACUCUGUCCGAAGAGGGAUUUUCCAGAACACAUGGGCAAAUGCCUUCUACCACAAACCCUGCAACAGUCACACAGGCAACCAGGAUACCCUCAGUAUACUUAUCAAAAAGGGAUACCAUUGGUCAAAUCUAGCAAAAGCUUCAUC